This is a non-coding RNA of Misgurnus anguillicaudatus (oriental weatherfish), 1628 nucleotides long. The record is from RefSeq and is a predicted model, not a curated record. NCBI's taxonomy places the organism in Eukaryota, Metazoa, Chordata, Actinopteri, Cypriniformes, Cobitidae.
AACUAUUUAACACAUUAUGUGUUAAUUUUAACACAUUAUGUGUCAUUUCGUGCUGAUUUAGAGUUCAUAUAAAUAAAAGGGACAACACAAGAUGUGUUAAAACAACACAAAGUGUGUUGUCCUUAACUAGACACAAGAUGUGUUAAUUUAACACAUUCGUUUUAAGAGUGUAGGAUGAUCCAUCUGUCUACACUUCAAAAUCACAACUCAACCUUAAACAUCCCAUAUCUGUUAUGGUAAAACAAUGUGGCGGUUUUCCAGACAGGGCUUAUACUGUUCCCGGGCUAAAAUGCAUGUUUGAGCUACUGUAAUUAAGAAAACACCUUGUACUGACACAUCUCAACAUAUAUCAUUGCCAUUGUUUUGUUUCAAGAUGCACACCAGUCUUGUUUUGUAAGGUUUGUUUGUAAAAACUAAAAUGUCCUAAUAUAAGUGCCCAGUCCUGGUUUAAUCUAAACCAGGGAUGGGCAACUUCGGUCCUGGAGGGCCGGUGUCCUGCAGAGUUUAGCUCCAACCAUAAUUAAACACACCUGAAGCAGCCAAUUAAGGUGUUACUAGGCAUACUAGAAACUUUAACGCACGUGUGCUGAGGCAAGUUGGAGCUAAACUCUGCAGGACAUUGGCCCUCCAGGACCGAAGUUGCCCAUCCCUGAUCUAAACCAUUGGUGACCAAACCUGUGUCUUGAGAUCUACUGUCCUGCAGAGUUCAGCUCCAACCCCAAUCAAACACACCUGAACCUGCCAAUCAAGCAUUUCAGGGCAACCUUAAAAUUAUAGUCAGGUGUGUUUAAAGCUGGGUUAGAACUAAAAUAUGCAGGAGGGUAGAUCUCCAGGAACAGGGUUGGUCACCCCUGAUCUAAACAAAGGGUUUCCAAACUGUGUCCUGCAAAGUUUAGCUCUAACCCUAAUCAAACACACCUGAAGCAGCCAAUUAAGGUCUUACUAAGCAUACUAGAAACUUACUGGCAGGUGCUCUGAUGCAAGAGCUAAACUCUGCAGGACACCGGCCCUCCAGGACUGAGUUUGGGUACCCCUGACUAAGCCCUGCCUGGGAAACUGCACCAAUGUGUUGAACUGGCACCAUUGGACAUUACUGCUGCUGAGAAACAACCACUUUCUCAGCUCUACACAGGGUUGACAUUGGAUGCAUUCUUAUUAUAAAAUGCAUUCAUGUGCACUUUACCAAUACUGUACAUACAUCAACAGCUUCCAGCUAUACACUUGAGAUCAGCUCCUGAUGCCUCUCAUAAUGCUGUGUUAUAAUUAAUUGCAGGGUGAUCUUGCUGAAAGGAUAUUUUUAUAAACCUUUACAAUGUCACCAGAUGUUACAUGUUGUGGAUAGUUAUUUUUAUAAACCUUUACAAUGUCACCAGAUGUUACCUGUUGUGAAUAAUUAUUUUAUAAACCUUUACAAUCUCACCAGUUGUUACAUGUUGUGGAUAGUUAUUUUUAUAAACCUUUACAAUGUCACCAGAUGUUACAUGUUGUGAAUGGUUAUUUUUAUAAACCUUUACAAUGUCACCAGUUGUUACAUGUUGUGCAUAGUUAUUUUUAUAAACCUUUACAAUGUCACCAGAUGUUACCUGUUGUGAAAAGUUAUUUUUAUAAACCGUUACAAUGUCACCAGA